GACGAACGCUGGCGGCGUGCUUAACACAUGCAAGUCGAACGGAAAGGCCUCUUUCGGGGGGUACUCGAGUGGCGAACGGGUGAGUAACACGUGAGUAACCUGCCCUUGACUUUGGGAUAACUUCAGGAAACUGGGGCUAAUACCGGAUAGGAGCUCCUGCUGCAUGGUGGGGGUUGGAAAGUUUCGGCGGUUGGGGAUGGACUCGCGGCUUAUCAGCUUGUUGGUGGGGUAGUGGCUUACCAAGGCUUUGACGGGUAGCCGGCCUGAGGGGGUGACCGGCCACAUUGGGACUGAGAUACGGCCCAGACUCCUACGGGAGGCAGCAGUGGGGAAUAUUGCACAAGGGGUGGAAGCCUGAUGCAGCAACGCCGUGUGCGGGAUGACGGCCUUCGGGUUGUAAACCGCUUUCGCUCAUGACGAAGCUUUGUGUGACGGUAGUGGGUAAAGAAGCACCGGCUAACUACGUG
RNAcentral lists this ribosomal RNA (467 nucleotides) under uncultured bacterium. RNAcentral's name for it is "partial 16S ribosomal RNA". It matches the Rfam family "Bacterial small subunit ribosomal RNA", at positions 28 to 507 of the family's 1533-position model. The record is from RNAcentral.